GAGGGUGUAGCUCAGUGGUAGAGUGCAUGCUUAGCAUUAAUGAGGUCCUGAGUUCAAGCCUCAGUACCUCCG
Molecule: transfer RNA, 72 nt
Filed under: Camelus dromedarius (Arabian camel)
Lineage: Eukaryota; Metazoa; Chordata; Mammalia; Artiodactyla; Camelidae
Also listed under: 1 other name
Rfam family: tRNA
About the family: Transfer RNA (tRNA) molecules are approximately 80 nucleotides in length. Their secondary structure includes four short double-helical elements and three loops (D, anti-codon, and T loops).
Source: Rfam by way of RNAcentral